AUUGAACGCUGGCGGCAGGCCUAACACAUGCAAGUCGAGCGGAUGAAGGGAGCUUGCUCCUGGAUUCAGCGGCGGACGGGUGAGUAAUGCCUAGGAAUCUGCCUGGUAGUGGGGGAUAACGUCCGGAAACGGGCGCUAAUACCGCAUACGUCCUGAGGGAGAAAGUGGGGGAUCUUCGGACCUCACGCUAUCAGAUGAGCCUAGGCCGGAUUAGCUAGUUGGUGGGGUAAAGGCCUACCAAGGCGACGAUCCGUAACUGGUCUGAGAGGAUGAUCAGUCACACUGGAACUGAGACACGGUCCAGACUCCUACGGGAGGCAGCAGUGGGGAAUAUUGGACAAUGGGCGAAAGCCUGAUCCAGCCAUGCCGCGUGUGUGAAGAAGGUCUUCGGAUUGUAAAGCACUUUAAGUUGGGAGGAAAGGCAGUAAGUUAAUACCUUGCUGUUUUGACGUUACCAACAGAAUAAGCACCGGCUAACUUCGUG
Molecule: ribosomal RNA, 484 nt
Filed under: uncultured bacterium
Lineage: Bacteria
Description: partial 16S ribosomal RNA
Rfam family: Bacterial small subunit ribosomal RNA
Source: RNAcentral